Molecule: long non-coding RNA, 929 nt
Organism: Mus musculus (house mouse)
Lineage: Eukaryota; Metazoa; Chordata; Mammalia; Rodentia; Muridae
Product: predicted gene 11695
Exons: 4
Source: RefSeq, a predicted model, not a curated record
AGAGUAUAACUGUCUUGGUGCUCACACGCAGUCUUGCCGACUCUGCUGCUGAGCGGCCUGCUCUGUCUGGCUACUGUCAAGUGAAAGGAGGCUUUGGUUGGGUGUGACGGCAGCUACACACAGUCUUCCCCACCUCCUAGACUUCACCCGCCUCAGGAAGGUGACCUUGGGAAGAGCUCUGAGUCAUAGGGAGGGAGUGGAGUUGGGGCGGGGAUCUUGAGCCACCUGUGUCCUCUGCUUUCAGUCCCCUCCCCGGUCCCCGGAGGCACUUGGUGCUUGCUGGCCUCUGCUCUCCAACCCUCUGGGUGAGCAAUGGGCUCAACAUGUUCCUGAAGCUACAACAGGGUAGUGAGCCCGAAGCUGGCUGAACAGUCACCAAGAGGACUCUGGGAUCACGGAUUGGAUUUGUGCCUCAGGUGGCCCUCCGUCUCCCAUCCCUAAUGCAAAACAGCCCUCCCCCGACAGGACUCAGUGUAGCUGGGACUCUAGCCAGCUACUCACCCCCACCGUGGACCAUGGCUCCCAGGAUGGAAGGAAACCACGAGGUCUCACUGUUGCUGGCCUGAAAGUCGCGCUGCAGAUCAGUGAAGAAGACACCGAUGCAGGAGGAUCAGACCGUGGGCGGGUAAAAUGCUGGUGUCUCCCAAAGUGGACAUGGACCUGUCUCCAAACUUCCAUUAUGAGCUGCCCAUGUACCAGCACCAACUUUCCUACCACCGGGAGAUCAACCUGAGCUCACCACCAGCGAGCAAGCUGGCACAGGAGGCACAGAUGCCAGCUCAGCAAGGACAGCCGAGCUGCAGGCUUGCAGAGAGAAGCCUUUGAAACCACCUUACCACACUCCCUUUACAAGGUGUGGAAGAUCAAGAGUGGGGCUCCACAGCUGUGCUGAAUCUUGUUGCCUGCAAGGGGCUUUUUCUGAGUAUACA